This 795-nucleotide ribosomal RNA is filed under the name uncultured archaeon. RNAcentral's name for it is "bacterial SSU rRNA". It matches the Rfam family "Archaeal small subunit ribosomal RNA", at positions 85 to 879 of the family's 1478-position model. The record is from RNAcentral.
ACGGCUCAGUAACACGUGGACAACCUACCCUGAGGUCGGGGAUAAACCCGGGAAACUGGGUAUAAUACCCGAUAGAUCUAGAUUGCUGGAAUGCUUUUAGGUCUAAAGUUCCGACGCCUCAGGAUGGGUCUGCGGCCUAUCAGGGUAGUAGUGGGUGUAACGUACCUACUAGCCCACGACGGGUACGGGUUGUGAGAGCAAGAGCCCGGAGAUGGAUUCUGAGACACGAAUCCAGGCCCUACGGGGUGCAGCAGGCGCGAAACCUUUACAAUGCUGGCAACAGCGAUAAGGGGACCUCGAGUGCUACGAUACAAUCGUGGCUGUCUAGUUGCCUAAAAAGCAAUUGAUAGCAAGGGCCGGGCAAGACCGGUGCCAGCCGCCGCGGUAACACCGGCGGCUCGAGUGGUAACCGCUAUUAUUGGGUCUAAAGGGUCUGUAGCCGGCUUAGUUAGUCUCUUGAGAAAUCUGGCCGCUCAACGGUCAGGCGUUCAGGGGAUACUGCUAAAGCUCGAGACCGGGAGAGGUGAGAGGUACUUCAGGGGUAGGGGUGAAAUCUUGUAAUCCUUGAAGGACCACCAGUAGCGAAGGCGUCUCACCAGAACGGAUCUGACGGCAAGGGACGAAAGCUAGGGGCACGAACCGGAUUAGAUACCCGGGUAGUCCUAGCCGUAAACGAUACUCGCUAGGUGUCGGCCACGGUGCGACCGUGGUCGGUGCCGUAGGGAAGCCGUGAAGCGAGCCACCUGGGAAGUACGGCCGCAAGGCUGAAACUUAAAGGAAUUGGCGGGGGAGCAC